AGGAUGAAGACGAGCUAGCUCUGCGCAUGUGUGCGUGUGGGAGAAAGGCCAGUUGCAGUCAGUGUCACGGUGCUGUUUUUGAAACUCUGCAGGUCCCUCAUAGGCCGGCUGAUAUCACCCAUGCCAGGAUUGCUUGGCCUUGACAGAGCCUGUGUUAGAAGGGACUAUCAUGAAGGUAUCCAAGAUACUAAAGGGCUGAAACAAGCCCCUCUCUUGUCUUCACAGUAUCUUCCAGUGGCAGACAGGAGGCCACUGGAUGAAGCUGAGGACAAAUAAAUGUCAAUAAACCACCACUGGGAGCUGCUGCUCCCCCAUUUCCCGUGGCCUGCAGGGGGUCACUGAGUUAAAUGUUACAGCUGAUUGUGAAA
This 368-nucleotide long non-coding RNA is filed under the name Homo sapiens (human). RNAcentral describes it as "long non-coding RNA NONHSAT154757". Lineage: Eukaryota; Metazoa; Chordata; Mammalia; Primates; Hominidae. The record is from RNAcentral.